Long non-coding RNA from Anopheles coluzzii, 3352 nucleotides. RefSeq lists it as uncharacterized. The record is from RefSeq and is a predicted model, not a curated record. The transcript has 2 exons. NCBI's taxonomy places the organism in Eukaryota, Metazoa, Arthropoda, Insecta, Diptera, Culicidae.
AUAUUGUUUUAUAAUGUUACCAAAUAUGUUAGAUUCUAUUACAAAUUGCUUUGGAGUGGGAGUAUCUACUAAAGCAAUUUUAGCUUUUGUUGUUAAGCUGGUCAUUGGAUCGAUCAAGCGACGAGAUCGACAAGUAGUUCAUGCUUAUUUAAAAAAUCUGCUCCAAUGAUUGGGCGAUUGACCGAUGCUAUUGUAAAAGUGUGGUUAAAUACUCUCCGAAGUCCAAGGCUUACUUGAAGUAGCUUUGUACCAUAUGUUGUGAUGGCACUACCAUUCCACUAGGGUAGUCCGUCAAUACCGUCGAGUUUAUUAGUUUUUUUAUGUUGAUGGAUUCUGUGAUGCCAAUUUAAUUUACGCCUGUGAAUUUACACGGUGGGAUGCAAUUGUUUGCCGCUGCUCCGUAUCGGAAAUGAUACCAACAAUUUUCAUAUUUUCUCGCGUUCGACGGUGUCCGCGAUCGGCUGCCGCCUUGUCCCCGGUUGCGACUGCGCUGUCGUCCUCGUGUAUUAUUUUGUGAAGCAAGUGUCAAAUUUUUUACCAUCUCCCUUAAUUCCCCGAUUUCUUUACGAAGCAGUUCAUUCUCGCUUGGGCCAUUGUGUUGUUGUUGUUUAUGAUCAUUUCUGUUGACUGAAAAAAUACUACCCAAUUGUGUGACCUCCCAAAGUCUGUCUGCAAUUCGGAGAAGUUCGUUUACGUCACGCGUGUCAAUUGCGAUUAACGAUACUUCUAUUGUUUUAGGAAGCCGUGCAAGCCAAAGUUUUCGUACGAGUUCUAAAGAAAGGUUUUCAGAAUUGCCAGCAAGUUGGACCAUGUAUCUGUAAAAGUCGGAUGGACUUCUGUCCCCUAUUUCAACGUGGUAAAGCAAUUGUGAUAAUCUUUGUUCCUCACUGAUUGUGAGGCGUUCUAUUAGCUGUUUUUUUUAGCGUUGUGUAGGGCAGAUCUUCCGCGGGUUUUGUUAUUAAAUCCAUGACCUUUAGAAGAAUUUCCUUUGGAAGUGUGCUGACCAAAUACGAAUACCGAGUUCUUUCUUGUGUAAUUCCGGCUAUCUCAAAUUCAGCCUCGGCUGCAGCAAACCAGGCAGCCGGGGAAUCAUCCCAAAAGCAUGGAAGUUUUGCGGAAACCUUUUCUAUGGAGCGAGGGGGAUUUUUGGUGUUGUAGCUGGAAUCUCGAUGGGCUCUGAGCUCUUCAUCGGCGUACGGGAUAAUGUUUGUUCUGGUUGAAACAUUUUUCUUUGUAAUCAGGCUAUUGUUACUAAACGUAUGUUCGAUCUGAACCUAUACUCCGAAUUUCCAAACGAAAUUGAACGCAAAACGAAACAAAGAAGAAAAAAUAACGAUAACACUGGAACGCGCUCACCGAUUUUGCCUGUUGACGUCGAUUCGCUGAAUUCUGUUCUUCAUCAAAGAACACUCGCAGAAGACAAUGGAUCAACGCUGGCGCGUGCCGAUGAGUCGAUGCUGCUGCGGAGAGGGGGUGCGAGGGGGCCGCACGGGAACACGGCUUCCGAUGCGCUGCUGCGUGCGCCACGGGAAGAAUACUGCGAUGAUUGUCUCCUUCUCUCUCACUCGUUCUGUCGUUGAUGUUGUCACCCGUAAGGUUUGAUUCGGUGGUUGCAAUUUUUUGCAGUAUGUUGUCCGUGAAAAAUCUCGACACCCGAUGGAUACUUGGGUGGAAAAGGGACAUUGAUGGGAAACACUGUUGCUUUUCUACACUUUUGCUGUAUUAUGAUCGGGGUGCAAAAGUGUCUUCACAGGUAAAAUCAGUUAAAUGAUUUUUUUUAAAGAACCGCUCUCUGAUGAACUCAUGUCACUGCACUCACUAUGUAACAUUGAGUAGAGCUACACGUGAACGAUUUGUGACAACGUUUGAAUAGAUGUAACGUCACACGCAUACACACACAAUAACAGUAAAUCCGCUACGCACUCUACCACGCACAGCUUUGCGCAUCGAUUCUGAAAACUCACGAACGAUUGCGGCGCGUUAUAUUCUGCACCGUUGCGUUUGUGCACUCACGGGUAGACGUUAUGCGCACGGUGGCUGUUCGGAUGACCGUUGUAGCGAGAUCCUUUCUUCUAAUGGUUUGCAGACAGUUAGUGUGGAUCUUUGAAUGGACACUGGCACAAGCAAUAGACACUGCACAAAAGUAGCUUGCCGAACUCACGUGAUAGUCAAACCAUUCUAGUUUGCUAUCUUUCGGCGUUUCGCACUAGUGCACUUGAAUGUCACUGGAGUCAAACAAAAACGUAAUGUAUGUGCUCCGUUAUACUCGACCGUUUUAUCACUUGCGCACUGAAAUUUCGCCGAACUCAGAACGUUUGUGUCGAGCUCCAGGCGAUCACGUCGGGGUCACCAACCCGCUUGGCAAAGAGUAACUCAUUUUGAUGCCUCUCGCUACCCCUGGCCUUAGUUUUAAACGAAUCAUGCGACACACUCGCACUCCACUACCCCAUCCCAUGGAAAAACGCUCCCACCAUCGAGGUGUUGACCAAAAUUUCGCUAUGUGCAUGAGACACACACUCGCACUCCUCCAGCCCUCCACAGCUGAACGCUCCCACCGUUGCGAAGUUUGCGAGAAUUUUUGCUCUGAGCGUGAGAUCCUGAAGCACCAGAGAUGACACUAUGUGUAAAGACGAUCAUAAUUCGGUAUGGUCAAAAUGCGUCGAUUGUCGUUUCAUUUAUCUGGUAAUGAUGUAUUCACUUCAUCAAAAUUUUAAACGUUCACAACUAGACUGAUAACAAUAUUUGAAUUUUUAAUCAGAAUAAAACCAAUUCAUUUGAAGCAAAAUAAAUUCCAUUAUACUUUAUUUUGACCAUAUGAUCAACACUUGUACAUAGUGCCAUUUACUUUGUGUUCUUCACUCUCGCGCUGUGUUUUGAUCGUUCGAAACUCAUUGCCAGAACGAAUGCAAAUUUCAUAUGGGAAUGAUCGGUGCCGGAAGAGGCAGCGAAAAUUAUGAAAUGAUAAUAGAAAAGUGGUUAAGUUAAUCGUGAAAGAUGUCAACGCAGACGUAAAUGUAGUAUGUUUUGUUACAUGAUCUACGGCUAUUUCAUUACCAAAGCUCCUGAUAACAGAUCAAAGCAGAUAGAUCGGGCAUACAGAGUCGCCGUUUAAUUUAAAAUAUCUGCGUGAUCGGUAAGUUUUAAAUAGUACUAGUUUUGUUCACCAUUCUAAUGCUCGAUUUAUCUUUCAUUCCUCAAGCAAACGCAUCAAACAGCAAGUGUUUUUCCUUCCAACAGCACGCACCAUCGGUGGUGCAGCAGCUAACGUUUUGUUCGCCUAGCGCGCACCAUCAAGAAUUGAUAUUUUGCCAAACAGUACUGUGAAUAAAAAACUGCACACUUACUGUAGGAA